Molecule: ribosomal RNA, 294 nt
Filed under: uncultured bacterium
Lineage: Bacteria
Description: partial 16S ribosomal RNA
Rfam family: Bacterial small subunit ribosomal RNA
Source: RNAcentral
AACGAACGCUGGCGGCAAGCCUAAUACAUGCAAGUCGAACGAGAAAGUUCUUCGGAACGAGUAGAGUGGCGCACGGGUGAGUAACACGUAGAUAAUCUGCCCUUUGGUGGGGAACAACAGAGAGAAAUCUCUGCUAAUACCGCAUAAGCAGGUAACUGGAAAGAGGCUUCGGUCUCGCCAAGGGAUGAGUCUGCGGGACAUUAGCUUGAUGGUGGGGUAACGGCCUACCAUGGCGACGAUGUCUAGCUGGUCUGAGAGGAUGAUCAGCCACACUGGAACUGAGACACGGUCCAG